RNAcentral lists this ribosomal RNA (776 nucleotides) under Gammarus sp. Gsp6. RNAcentral's name for it is "eukaryotic LSU rRNA". It matches the Rfam family "Eukaryotic large subunit ribosomal RNA", at positions 156 to 624 of the family's 3401-position model. Lineage: Eukaryota; Metazoa; Arthropoda; Malacostraca; Amphipoda; Gammaridae. The record is from RNAcentral.
UAAGUCAGCCACGAAUAGGCUAUCCCAACUAACGGCGGGAAAGACUCCCCGGAGGGUGUAAGACCCGUGUGGGCGCGUGUUAAAGCUGUGUGGGCUCGGCCUCUCUUCCCUGAGAGUCGCGUUGCUUGAGCAUGCAGCGCUAAUCAGGUCGUAAACUCGAUCUAAGGCUAAAUAUCUCCACAGAACCGAUAGCGAACAAGUACCGUGAGGGAAAGUUGAAAAGCACUCUGGAGAGAGAGUCAAAAGACCGUGAAACCGCUCAGAGUAUAAGCCCAUGGCAGCUUGGAAGGCAUAUCGCUAGCGGGGCAUCGGUCUCCCUUCACGGGGAGCUGGUGUUACCUUGCUUCUGUUGUGGCUCGUCAAGGUAGGGGGGUCAAGUCCACAUCCCGCCGUCGUGUGGGGAGUUCCUGGGCGUGUCGUUGCUUUGCGGUUGACUUCGGUUGGCCGUAGGGCUCUUCGCGCUUGGGGCUUCUUUAGACACGGACGUUCAUACUCAGUUGCAAGACGCGAUAACCAGCCCACCACGGCACGUUGUGAGGUCACCCACAGGCUCAGCUUUCGAUUGUUGUCCUUGACGCCGAGCAAGCACAAUGCGUGUCGCAGAUGUUCCUAACCUGGCAAUGCUUGUCGGACAGUGGAACGACACGCGCUCAACAGUCAGGACCGGGCGAUGACAGAGUUCUGGUCUGAUCCUCUUGUGACGAGCCGGCUUCUGGCCGAUUUCCGAUGCUCAGGUCUCCCGCAUGUGCCGCGGGAGAUCGCCUUGACGGUCUGGA